CCUUUUAUAAUCCAAAUUUUGCGAGAAAGGACCUUAUAUAAUUUUUUUUGUGAAAUCACACCUUAAUGUAAAUUUUUUUGCGAGAAAGGACCUUAUAUAAUUUUUUUUGGUGAAAUCACACCUUAAUGUACUUUUUUUUUGCGAAAGACAACCAAAAGUAAAUUUUCGGCAUUGACUGAGCUUUUCCGGCCAUUGACUUGCACGUGAGAAGCACGUGUGGCUUUAUUUUGCUAAUUACACCCAAUUUUUCCUCCAAAAUUCUAAGAUUUAAAACCUAAAGUUGAAAAAAAAGUCGAAAUAAAAUCAAGUUUGAAAAUUCAAGACUCGGGAAAAUCAAUGUCUUUAGCCAACGUAAGCCACGCGUGCUGCUCACGUGCAAGCCAAUGGCCGGAAAGCUCAGUCAAUGCCGGAAAAUUUCCUUAGGUCCUUUCUCGCAAAAAAAAUUACUUAAAGGUGUGUUUUCACAAAAAAAAUUAUAUAAGGUCCUUUCUCGCAAAAUUUGUGUUAUAAAAGGUCUUUUUUGGCAAAUUUGCCAUUAAACAAAUACAACUAACAUCCAACAAAUGAGAAGAGUCCAAAAUUUUUUACUCUUAAUAGGCCUAAAUAAUAAGCCCAAACAUUCACACAAAACUCUAAUACUUCGUAGACUCAGCCCCCUACCUCUAACCCCCCUCAUUUCACAUUCUACUCUCAAACCCUAACUUUUUAUCUUCUCUCUUGGGCCUUACGCUCUCACUCUCACCCCGAUCGUCCGCCGCUUCAUGCACUUCGCCUCAAUCUCUCGGUGUCUCCUUUUCCUAUUCGAUCUCCUUCCAGGUUUCAUCAAAGACCAAGUCCUAUUGUCUUCAAUUUUAUGUUACUGAAGAGAGGAGUAGUUGGCUUUGUUUCAUGUCACAAGGUAAUUAUUGCAAGAUGGUAUACCUAUCAUCAUCACGGCUUAUGUGCGGAUUUUGAUUUGAAGUUUCUCAUAUUUACCAAGUGGUUUCACGAAGGAUGUGGUAGCCUCUCCAAACUUAGAGGGGAGAAGCUGUAAUUCUUUAAAACAGAUAGUGAAUCUUCCUAUAAGAAGAUACUUGUAUUUUUUUGUAAUAUUAAUUUUUGUGAUUUAUACAGAUUGGUGUUUUUUGUUGGAAAGUUAUGUUGCUCUGCUAUUUUAUAUGUGAAAUUGUAAUUUUAUUAGCAUAAUAUUUUUUCAUUCGGAUUUGAACUUGUAACUUCAAAUUAACGUUUGUAAUUAAAAUGUAAUUACAUAGCAGUAAAAUAAUUUAUUUUAAAGGA
Spinacia oleracea (spinach) is the source of this 1278-nucleotide RNA transcript. RefSeq lists it as uncharacterized. The record is from RefSeq and is a predicted model, not a curated record. The transcript has 2 exons. Lineage: Eukaryota; Viridiplantae; Streptophyta; Magnoliopsida; Caryophyllales; Amaranthaceae.